AUGACUUCUCAGCCUUUUGACUAAGAUCAAGUGUAGUAUCUGUUCUUAUCAGUUUAAUAACUGCUAUGUCCUCUAUCUGAGGAUAAUAUAUUAAAUGGAUUUUUGGAGGAGGGAGAUGGAAUAGGAGCUUGCUCUGUCCACUUUACUCAUCGACCUGGUAUUGUAGUACUUCCAGGAACGAUGCAACCCCU
Small nuclear RNA from Echinops telfairi (small Madagascar hedgehog), 191 nucleotides. Its record names the gene U2. It matches the Rfam family "U2 spliceosomal RNA". Rfam says of the family: U2 is a small nuclear RNA (snRNA) component of the spliceosome (involved in pre-mRNA splicing). Lineage: Eukaryota; Metazoa; Chordata; Mammalia; Afrosoricida; Tenrecidae. The record is from Ensembl.